This 780-nucleotide ribosomal RNA is filed under the name Araneae sp. NZAC 03012253. RNAcentral describes it as "partial 28S ribosomal RNA". It matches the Rfam family "Eukaryotic large subunit ribosomal RNA", at positions 396 to 910 of the family's 3401-position model. The record is from RNAcentral. Lineage: Eukaryota; Metazoa; Arthropoda; Arachnida; Araneae.
UACGUGAAACUGCUUAGAGGUAAAGAGGUGGGCCCUCGAAAUCCUGUGGUGGGAGCAUUCAGUCGGGAAGUUGAGACGUUGCGCCGAGUUAUGACAAAGAAGGUUCUCGAGACGAGGCCGACUUGGCGCUUCGAUUCGAUUCCGACCGACGCAUUUGCUUCCCGCCCGAAGGACGUCGCAACCGGUUGGGGGAUGGCCUUAAGGGCGAUUACAAGGCAGUUGGUCGGUGGCGUGCACUUGUUGCGUGUCGCCGACUGUUAGCCUUCUCGCACUCGGCUCGUUCCCCGACCGUGGCAAUAAAGAUGCCUUCUUCUAGGCUUCGACGUCUCCUCCCAUGGUGGCGAGUGAAGAAGCGUGGCAGGAGUACGACGGACAGCGGGCGCACGGACUGACUUCGUGGCCCGGCGACACGUCGGCUUCGUUGGCUGCGCAAGGCUCGCGGGAGUGUACGACGGUUGGCGGCGAGUAGAUCGGUCACCCACCUCACCCGUCUUGAAACACGGACCAAGGAGUCCAACACGUGCGCGAGUCAAUGGGACUCGAAUAAGCCCAAAGGCGCAAUGAAAGCGAAGGUCGGAUGACUCCGGCUGUGUUGGGAUCCCGGCUCCACUGCGGGCCGGGCGCACCAGCGACCCGUCCUAUCUCACUUGUGGGUUGGGCGGAGUCUGAGCGCACGCGUUGGGACCCGAAAGGUGGUGAGCUAUGCCCGGGCAGGACGAGGCCAGAGGAAACUCUGGUGGAGGUCCGCAGCGGUUCUGACGUGCAAAUCGAUCGUCAGAU